This 2136-nucleotide long non-coding RNA is filed under the name Bemisia tabaci. Its description in RNAcentral is "lncRNA ENSSSA2NGG012584". Lineage: Eukaryota; Metazoa; Arthropoda; Insecta; Hemiptera; Aleyrodidae. The record is from RNAcentral.
AUGGGUCAGGCGCAGAGUCAAUCAGCCUCAGGCGAUGACUGUGAUUACUGCAAUUCUCCCACGGAUCAGAGAGGGGGAAGCGGCAAACCGGGUACAAAUCUGAACGACGGUCGAGCUCGGGUAUCUGAUUCUAGUAAGCAAUCGGGGACUCCUGGUGUACAUCAUGGAAUACCAGACCAAACAUCUGAUUAUCCUGGAGCUCAGACGGCACAGCCGGGACAAAUUAGUACUCCAGGAAGUAUUGGAACGCCUCAUCAGACUCCAGGAUACCCAAGUGGUCUACCCGGCGGUCCUGGUGGUCCUGGAUACCCUGGUGGUUUGGCUACAAUUCCAGGACAAAUUGGAGUUGUAGGAAGUGUUGAGACAACUCCUCAGAUAACUGGAUAUCCUGGUGGUGCGGGUGAAACUCCUGGUCGUCAAACAUCGUUUCCAGGACAAGCACCAGUUCCUGGGAGUGUUGGGACGUCUCCACAGAUAACUGGAUAUCCUGGUGGUCAAACAAUACUUCCCGGGCAAGGUGCAAUUCCAGGGAGUGUUGGGACGUCUCCACAGAUUACUGGGUAUCCGGGUGGUCAAACAAUACUUCCCGGGCAAGGUGCAAUCCCAGGGAGUGUUGGGACGUCUCCACAGAUUACUGGGUAUCCUGGUGGUCAAACAAUACUUCCCGGGCAAGGUGCAAUCCCAGGGAGUGUUGGGACGUCUCCGCAGAUUACUGGGUAUCCUAGUGGUCUGGUAAGCACUCCUGGUGGUCAAACAAUACUUGCCGGGCAAGGUGCACUUCCAGAGAGUGUUGGGACGUCUCCACAGAUUACUGGGUAUCCUGGUGGUCCGGUUGGUACUCCUGGUGGUCAAAUAAUACUUCCCGGGCAAGGUUCGAUUCCAGGUAGUGUUGGGACGUCUCAGCUGAUUCCUGGAUACCCAAGUGGUUCGACUGGAGUAUCUGGUGGUCAAGUAUUACUUCCGGGACAAGUCGGAGUACCAAGUGGCGUUGGGACAACUCCCCAGAUUACUGGAUACCCAGGUGGUCCAGCUGGAACUCCAGGUAGCUCUACUUAUAUUGGUGGUCAAUUAUUUCCACCCGGACAUGAUGGCAUUCAGGGAACUUUUGGAAAGACCCCUCAGAGUACUGGAUACCCUGGAGGUCAAUUUUCGCAACCCGGACAAGUUGGAAUUCCUGGAGGAGGAACCAGAUAUCCAGGUGUUCCGAGUUCUUUCCCAGGUUUUAGUCAAGGAUCGACAUCUAUUCAGCCUGGAACUUUCACCGGGGGAUCCUCUAUUCCAGGGCAAAUAGGCUAUCCUGGUGGAGGGGCCCAAGGCCCGGGUCAAACCCAAUAUCCGAGUGGUUCAGUGAGAACGCCAGAUCAAAAUAUUUAUUCUCAGGGUCAAACUGGCUAUACUGGCGGGCAGGUUGGAGGUAGCUAUCCUUCCAGCCAAGGUGGUUUUCCCGGGACCCAGUCACAAUCUCUGCAACCCGAUGUAAAGGGACGUGUUCCGGGGGUGGUUGGAUAUCCGAGUGGCCAAGGAGUUUCUUACCCCGACGAUGGACUAAGAGGGUACACAACUGGGCAAGGCACAUCACCGGGAGGUUUACAUUCUCCCGGUCAGUCCUCGUAUUCAGGAGGUGGAACUUUCCCUUCGAUCGGAUAUCCCUCAAGCCAAAGAGGUUUUCCAGAAUAUUCAGGUGUAGGUACCGUGCCUGGAGGUUAUCCUCUUAGUCAGGGUGGUACACAAGUACAGCCAGGUUAUCCAGGAUCGUUAGCGAGGGUGCCCGGCCCAGCAGGGCUCCCAAGUACCCCUUCGGGUGCCACAGGACAAAUUUUGCCAGGAGCUGGGAGAGAUCUCCACGGCCAAGUGGGUUAUCCAAGCGGUCAAGCAGGCUACCCAAGUCAGCUUUCAGGUCCCCAAUUUGGUGUGCAUCCAGGGUAUACUUCAACAGGCAGUGGGCCAGCCGGAUAUCCAGGACAACAAAUAGGAAUAGUGAAUCAAUUCAAUCCUUCUCAACAAACUUGGAUUAGUCAAGGGGGUCGGGCCCUCCCCAGUAUCCACAUCAAAUUAUUCCCGGCCAAGAAUCUGGUAUCUCAGCGCCAGUACCGAGUUUUAGACCAGGACAGGGAGGGUAUGAUACUACAGGAAUAG